UACGAAGGGGGCUAGCGUUGCUCGGAAUCACUGGGCGUAAAGGGCGCGUAGGCGGCCUGAUCAGUCGGGGGUGAAAGCCUGUGGCUCAACCACAGAAUGGCCUUCGAUACUGUCGGGCUUGAGACCGGAAGAGGUAAGUGGAACUGCGAGUGUAGAGGUGAAAUUCGUAGAUAUUCGCAAGAACACCAGUGGCGAAGGCGGCUUACUGGUCCGGAUCUGUCGCUGAGGCGCGAAAGCGUGGGGAG
This 245-nucleotide ribosomal RNA is filed under the name uncultured Methylobacterium sp. RNAcentral describes it as "partial 16S ribosomal RNA". It matches the Rfam family "Bacterial small subunit ribosomal RNA", at positions 524 to 768 of the family's 1533-position model. Lineage: Bacteria; Pseudomonadati; Pseudomonadota; Alphaproteobacteria; Hyphomicrobiales; Methylobacteriaceae. The record is from RNAcentral.